This is a long non-coding RNA of Zophobas morio, 343 nucleotides long. RefSeq lists it as uncharacterized. The record is from RefSeq and is a predicted model, not a curated record. Lineage: Eukaryota; Metazoa; Arthropoda; Insecta; Coleoptera; Tenebrionidae. The transcript is spliced from 3 exons.
CGAUCGAAUGGUAAUGUGAUCAAAAAAUUUAAAAAUGGCUACAACAAAUUUUCUAGAUGACAUAUUCCUGAUUUAUUCGUUUUGAAUUAAGCAAAAAAUGUUAUUCCUACGUCAUUUUUUUGUAAAAUAGAAAAUACAGUUUUUUUUUCCUCUUGUGAACUCAAUCCGGGGACAUACUGUAUGUAACAACAUCUAGUAUUUUAAUGUCAGCCUACUGAUAUCCAUAUCCAUAAUCGCAAUGUUUAUCUUCUUCGAAUAGUUUCUACUGAAGAAUUUAAUGAAUAAAAUUUUAUCUGUAAAAUGAGCAAAUGUAUUAGUUAAAAUAACAUUAAAGACAAAAAGA